This 251-nucleotide ribosomal RNA is filed under the name uncultured prokaryote. RNAcentral's name for it is "partial 16S rRNA". It matches the Rfam family "Bacterial small subunit ribosomal RNA", at positions 525 to 775 of the family's 1533-position model. The record is from RNAcentral.
ACGAAGGGGGCUAGCGUUGCUCGGAAUUACUGGGCGUAAAGGGCGCGUAGGCGGAUCGUUAAGUCAGAGGUGAAAUCCCAGGGCUCAACCCUGGAACUGCCUUUGAUACUGGCGAUCUUGAGUAUGAGAGAGGUAUGUGGAACUCCGAGUGUAGAGGUGAAAUUCGUAGAGAUUCGGAAGAACACCAGUGGCGAAGGCGACAUACUGGCUCAUUACUGAGGCUGAGGCGCGAAAGCGUGGGGAGCAAACAG